ACGCUGGCGGCAGGCUUAACACAUGCAAGUCGAACGGUAACAGGAGAAAGCUUGCUUUCUUGCUGACGAGUGGCGGACGGGUGAGUAAUGCUUGGGAAUCUGGCUUAUGGAGGGGGAUAACGACGGGAAACUGUCACUAAUACCGCGUAGAGUCGAGAGACGAAAGUGCGGGACCGCAAGGCCGCAUGCCAUAGGAUGAGCCCAAGUGGGAUUAGGUAGUUGGUGGGGUAAUAGCCUACCAAGCCGACGAUCUCUAGCUGGUCUGAGAGGAUGACCAGCCACACCGGGACUGAGACACGGCCCGGAUUCCUACGGGAGGCAGCAGUGGGGAAUAUUGCGCAAUGGGGGCAACCCUGACGCAGCCAUGCCGCGUGAAUGAAGAAGGCCUUCGGGUUGUAAAGUUCUUUCGGUAUUGAGGAAGGUUGUUGUGUUAAUAGCACGACAAAUUGACGUUAAAUACAGAAGAAGCACCGGCUAACUCCGUGCCAGCAGCCGCGGUAAUACGGAGGGUGCGAGCGUUAAUCGGAAUAACUGGGCGUAAAGGGCACGCAGGCGGACUUUUAAGUGAGGUGUGAAAUCCCCGGGCUUAACCUGGGAAUUGCAUUUCAGACUGGGAGUCUAGAGUACUUUAGGGAGGGGUAGAAUUCCACGUGUAGCGGUGAAAUGCGUAGAGAUGUGGAGGAAUACCGAAGGCGAAGGCAGCCCCUUGGGAAUGUACUGACGCUCAUGUGCGAAAGCGUGGGGAGCAAACAGGAUUAGAUACCCUGGUAGUCCACGCUGUAAACGCUGUCGAUUUGGGGAUUGGGCUUUAAGCUUGGUGCCCGAAGCUAACGUGAUAAAUCGACCGCCUGGGGAGUACGGCCGCAAGGUUAAAACUCAAAUGAAUUGACGGGGGCCCGCACAAGCGGUGGAGCAUGUGG
Molecule: ribosomal RNA, 920 nt
Filed under: uncultured bacterium
Lineage: Bacteria
Description: bacterial SSU rRNA
Rfam family: Bacterial small subunit ribosomal RNA
Source: RNAcentral